RNAcentral lists this long non-coding RNA (258 nucleotides) under Gallus gallus (chicken). Lineage: Eukaryota; Metazoa; Chordata; Aves; Galliformes; Phasianidae. The record is from RNAcentral.
GGCUGAGCACAGCUCAGCUGUUCGCCCUCCACACCGAUCCCACGGCAGAACCAUUCCAUGCCGGAACACAGAGGGACCCACGACUCAGCGCCGGGGUUUGCAGCUGGAUGAAGUCAGGCCAGGCCAGAGGGUGAGCAACCCCCGGCUCUGCAUGGAUUGCAAUGGGGAAAGCCAGCUGCAGUAAGAGCCCGGCGCAGUUGGAGCACGGCCUCUUCCUCCAGGCUCUCCUCCUCCUCCUCCUGCUCUGCUGCAGGCAUG